RNAcentral lists this ribosomal RNA (484 nucleotides) under uncultured bacterium. RNAcentral describes it as "partial 16S ribosomal RNA". It matches the Rfam family "Bacterial small subunit ribosomal RNA", at positions 30 to 507 of the family's 1533-position model. The record is from RNAcentral.
AUUGAACGCUGGCGGCAGGCCUAACACAUGCCAGUCGAGCGGAUGAAGGGAGCUUGCUCCUGGAUUCAGCGGCGGACAGGUGAGUAAUGCCUAGGAAUCUGCCCGGUAGUGGGGGAUAACGUCCGGAAACGGGCGCUAAUACCGCAUACGUCCUGAGGGAGAAAGUGGGGGAUCUUCGGACCUCACGCUAUCAGAUGAGCCUAGGUCGGAUUAGCUAGUUGGUGGGGUAAAGGCCUACCAAGGCGACGAUCCGUAACUGGUCUGAGAGGAUGAUCAGUCACACUGGAACUGAGACACGGUCCAGACUCCUACGGGAGGCAGCAGUGGGGAAUAUUGGACAAUGGGCGAAAGCCUGAUCCAGCCAUGCCGCGUGUGUGAAGAAGGUCUUCGGAUUGUAAAGCACUUUAAGUUGGGAGGAAGGGCAGUAAGUUAAUACCUUGCUGUUUUGACGUUACCAACAGAAUAAGCACCGGCUAACUUCGUG